GAAAAACAGAACUCUUAUAGGAUCACUUUGUUGUCUAUCUCUCUGUCUGUCGAGUCAAGAAAAUCAAUAGGGUACUUCCCGUUGACCUAGAAUCAUGUUUGGCAGGUAGGUAGGUCUUAUAGCAUAAGCAAAGGAAAAAAUCCGAAAAC
Molecule: long non-coding RNA, 149 nt
Organism: Maniola jurtina (meadow brown)
Lineage: Eukaryota; Metazoa; Arthropoda; Insecta; Lepidoptera; Nymphalidae
Exons: 3
Source: RefSeq, a predicted model, not a curated record